This is a long non-coding RNA of Triticum dicoccoides, 4870 nucleotides long. RefSeq lists it as uncharacterized. The transcript has 2 exons. NCBI's taxonomy places the organism in Eukaryota, Viridiplantae, Streptophyta, Magnoliopsida, Poales, Poaceae. The record is from RefSeq and is a predicted model, not a curated record.
UGCAUCUCUUCUCCCGUCGGUCGGCGACGAACCCUAGCUAGCGUGUCUCCACCGGCUUCCAAAAAAAAAAACUCGUGUCAGUCCGGGUGCGAGAGGCCACCGGCGGCGCUCUAGACUAAUCGGAUCGGAUCUGAGCGAAUCCCGCCGCCGCGCCCGUCUCGCAUGCCGUGGCCGAUGACCGCGUCGGCCGGGGCCCGUCCCUGCCCAAACGGCGGCGAUGAUGGAUGGAGCCGCCGGCGCCGGCCAGGCUCCCGACCUGCGGACGCGCCGGGUCGCCGCUCCUCGGGGCCAGCCCCUCCCGCCGCGGCGGAUCGCGCAUCGGCUUGGAGGCCCCUCGGGGCUGCCGCCGGUGCGGGAGGCCUCCGCGGCGCGGGCUGGGGAGUGGGGACCGAGCGGCGGGGCCCGUGAGGCGUUCCGGUCGAGGGAUUGGUCGGGCCGGUGCGGGAUCUGAGCCGCCGUCCAUGGAUUUCUCGCAGCUUGGCUGCGUUUCGCUUUCGAUUCGAGUCCACACCAGUGAACCCUAACCCGAAACCGGAUCAGGCGAGCUCUCGUUGCCGGAUCGCUGACCCGUCGUCCCGGUGGCCGCUGCGUCAGUUCCACACCGCUACGGCGCCGCCAGCCAUUGCCGUUCCCUUGCCUUGGAUUCGGUUGUGGCGUGGGCUGGAGCCGUACUCUGUUGUCUGAUGCGUCGUUCAAGCGGGGGGUUUGGUCAGUCGAGGCCAGGCAUGAGCAGCUCCUGAGCAGGAUGGAUGGAUGGAUGGAUGGAUGCGUUCAUGUGUCGUGAACUAAAACCACGACUCCUAUUUUUGAACGGAGGGAGUAUGAAUGUAUGGAUAUCAUGGUCAUGUUGCUUGCUGUGUAGAGCCCGGAGGUGGGUUGAGAAAAAAAGAGGGGCAAUGAUGAUGAUGACGACGACGACGACGGCUGAAAUUACCAUGUCUUGAGCAAUCAAGGCAGCUGUGGUGUGGUGGUACUAAACAGAGCUGAAAAAAAUAUCGGUGUCUGCGUUGGAGUUGGCCUUGGAGCCCACCCUUGCCUCUCUUGCAGCCUGUCUAAUUCAUCGCUGAUGUUGGAUGCUUUGUGCCUCGGGCGGUCAUUCUGUUGAGUGAUAACCAUGGCAGUUCUCUUGCAUCGUGAUGGGUAGAUUAUGCAGCAAGAAAUGUGGGGGUUGGGCUUGAAGAUGGAAGACAAAACUAACCCUAAACCGAAUCAGGCGAGCUCUCGUUGCCGGAUCGCCGGCCAAUCAUCCGGUUGGCCGCCACGUCAGUUUCGCACCCCUGCGGUGCUGCCAGCCACCGCCGUUCCAUUGCCUUGGAUUUGGCUGUGGCGUGGGCUGGGAACCGUACGGUGUUUGUCUGACGAGCCGUCCGCACGGGGGGUUUGGUCGGUCGACUCCAGGUAUGAGCAGCUCCUGAGCUUGAUGGCUGGAUGUGUGCACACAUGUAAUGGAGUAUCAUGGUCAUGUUGCUUGGUGUGCCGAGGCAACCUCAUUUUUGGACCAAAAAGAGGGGCGAUGACGACGAUGAUGAUGACGAUGAUGAUGACUGUGGCUGAAAUAAUGCUGUCUUGAGCAAUCGAGACAGCCUUGGUUUGUGGGACUAAACUGAGCUGAAAAAGUCGGUGUCACCACCCUUGCUUCUGUUGCAGCCUGCUCAAUUUUUCGCCGAUGUUGGAUGAUCUGUCCCUUGGAUGGUCGUUCUGAUGAGUGACAACCAGGGCAGUUCUCUUACACUGCGAUGGGUAGAUCAUGGAGCAAGAGAUGUGGGUGUUGGGUUUGAAGAUGAAUGACAAAGCUGAGCCCUCUUUUGCUACGCUACAUACACUGAAUUUUCACUGUUCAGUUGCAUUUUGUUUUGGAUUCGGUGUGAAUCCUCCUCCUCCUCCUCCUCUCUCUCUCUCUCUCUCUAUAUAUAUAUAUAUAUAUAUAUAUAUAUAUAUCCUACAACAAAUCAGUCAAGCUGUCAUUGCCUACUCGCUGACCCAUGGUCCGGGUGGACUAACGCUAUGGUGCCGUCAGCCACCGCCAUUCCAUUGCCUUGGAUUCGGUUGUGGCGUGGGCUGGGAACCAUACAGUGUUGUCUGAUGCGUCGUCCGAGCCGGAGGUCUGGUACUCUGGUUGGCUGAUGCCAGACAUGAGCAACUCCUGAGAGCAUGGUUAAUAGUACAGCCAACUUCUGGCAUGCAUGCAUGUAUGUAUGGAUGUAUGGAUACUAUGGUCAUGUUGCUGCCGAAGUCACUGUUUUGACCUUUUUGGAAAGGUUCGCACAAAAUGAACCAUGUCUGAAACUUCAGUACAAUCUAACCCCCUGUAUCCAUCGAUCCAUCCAUCUAUCCAUCAACCCAUCCAUCCAUCUAUCUAUCUAUCUAUCUAUUUGAGGCGAUGAUGAUAAAACAUGGCUGACAUAAACUUGUCUUCGAUUAUUCGAGGAGCUGUGGGCCUCAAAAACCUACUCUCCCCUCUUUUGGCACCUUAUCAUUCUCACCGAAUAUUGAUGGCUCUGUCUUGGAUGGUCAUUCUGCUGAGUGAUAAUCAGAGGAGCUCGACCUCAGUGGUGGGGGUUGAUCUGGUGAAAGAAGAUGGAGCCAGGUUGUAUGAUCUAUCAAAGGCGAAUCUGAGCCCUCUCAAAUCUCAAUGCAACUAAUACUGCGCCCUCUACACAUCUAUUUAUCCCUAUUGCAUUUUUAUGUUUUAAAUUGAUGAAUUGUCGUGGUUGUAGCAUUGGGCCAUCUCAUUAGGAGCAACUACGCACAAAUCACCUCUCGUGGUGUUCGGUUUGCCUUCCCAUGAUUUUGUUGUCCAUUGAGGGAACCAGUUUGGUGCAUCCGGGCCUUUUCUUUUCUGUUAUUAUUUUUCCUUGAAUGGCUGUGAUAAUAAUGCUGCCCUUGGGUAUUUUUUGAAAUUAUCUUAUUUGGUACUGUAUCAGUUUGGUUGUUUCAAUUGCUAUUUGACUUUUGAUAAUUUCAUUUUGCUACUGUUCUCUUUAUCUAGUUAUCAGUUUGUACUUUUGGGCACUCCUCAUUUAUUUACUGGUUUUCAUCUUAAGGGUCAUAUAGGGAAAGUUCAGAUGUCAAGAUUACUGUUUCCUUCAUGUCAUGUUCAUGAAUGGCUGCGAUGAUAUAGCUUCCAUGUGGGUGCUUCUAUCUAAUACCUGUAUUGAUUCAGUAGGUGCUAAACUAGGACUCUAGGAGUCCUUGUGUCACAACAAGUAACCGGUUUAGCGGCUAACAAUUACUGUUAAACAUUGGAAUUAAGAAUCCACUUAACAGUGUGGAGAGAGAUUACAUGGAAUUAAGAAUCCACUUAACAGUUUGGUUGCUUACAGCAGAAUGCUUUGAAAUAAAGAUGCAUCAUUAAGGACUACUUUGUUUGAAUAAAUAAAAAAAUUGUGUUGUGAAGGGCCUAGAAAGAGGAACAGGAUUUCACAUCUUUUCAUCAAACUAUGCUAUUAUUUGCAACUGUAUGUCCUUUGUUAUGCAUGUUCUGUUUUUUGUCUCAGCAUUUCCAUUUAGUCGUAACCGCAUUUUAUUUUGCGGAAGGUCUUACAUUCAUGUAUUUGCUGCACUACGGCACCGCAAGCAUCAGCAAUUGUAAUAAUUACAUUUGAUCUAUUAAUUUAUUAAUUAUAUUUUUUUAAAUUCUGAAUCUACAAUUCUAUUUCUCGUUUACAUUAUGUUCACUGUAACCUGCAGCACUAACCCUGUUGAUGGCUUUCUUCUGUUGCAAAAAAGAAAGUUCAUGUUCUCCUGUUUUUAUUUUGGCUUGCAGUCACUCGUUUUAUCUGGUGAAGUGAACAAAUGGCAAUUGCUUCUUUCAUUGCCGGUAAUACGGCCAUCAGUGCAGUAUUCCAUAUUAACUUCUGAACACAGCAUAUUUGUUUCUGUUGUGUGUUGUUGAUAAUUAUUCUUUUUCUGAAUGGCUAUGAUGAUUUCCUCCCCAUGGUGUCUUUCAACAUAUCCUGAGAUAGAGACACUUUCACGUCUCUAGGUUGGUUCCAUUCAACUUUGCCCAGUUAGACAGUUAAUCAUUAAACUAGGAGGCCUUGCUCUGCAGCAAGUUACCAGUUGUGGCUAUUUGUUGCUGAGUGGAGAGAGGUUUUAUUCCUUAUGGUACUACCUGAAGCAUUGUCCAACUAAGGUGAUUCAUGGGCAGGUAAAUCUGAGCCAUUCAUUCAAGUAGUACUCCCCAAAAAUUUCCCGGAUUUUGUGAACUACUAGAUGAUGCCCCGGCCCCCGUGUGUUGCCGUGGGAACCUCGUUAAAAUAAUUGUAUUAAUAGGUGCUAGAAAACAACUAAACUAAUGCAAGAUAAUAAUAAUAUUCUUGACUUACAUUGUAGCAGCAUGCCAUUUUGUUUCUAUAAAAAGUGCAAAUCAUGAACUACGUAGAUAGGCUUCAAGUAUCCACCAUGUAUGCUGUAUAUGACAAUAUAAAAGUCAAUUAAAAAAAUGUAACCUAUCAACGACGUCGACAUGUUACAAUUCAAAAAAUAUAACUUAUCAACGCCAACGACAUGUAUCGCUUGGUAAUAUGGCGCGGUUGCAUUUUUAAAUUAAUGCAAAAAGGUGCAACUUAUAAUUGACAUGCAUAGGUCCUUAGGUGGCAUGGUUGCAUGCUUAGAAAAAUUAGAUCGUGAAUUGGAUGUAAAUAAAUGUAAGUUAUGAUUUGUGAUUGACAUCCAUACGUGCUGUUGUGGCAUGGCUGCAUGUUAUUAAAAAUUAGCUAGUGGGUUGUAGCUAUUGAGAAGUAGAGGAUUCCUCGUGUAUUUGUUAUGGUACGUGAGUCUGACACUUUGCACUUGUACUUCUGCCUGAUUAUAGAAAUUUUAGCAUUGGGUACUUCUGAAAUAUACUCCAGAAAACAGCUUGGUUUCC